AAAUUGAAGAGUUUGAUCAUGGCUCAGAUUGAACGCUGGCGGCAGGCCUAACACAUGCAAGUCGAACGGUAACAGGAAGCAGCUUGCUGCUUCGCUGACGAGUGGCGGACGGGUGAGUAAUGUCUGGGAAACUGCCUGAUGGAGGGGGAUAACUACUGGAAACGGUAGCUAAUACCGCAUAACGUCGCAAGACCAAAGAGGGGGACCUUCGGGCCUCUUGCCAUCGGAUGUGCCCAGAUGGGAUUAGCUUGUUGGUGGGGUAACGGCUCACCAAGGCGACGAUCCCUAGCUGGUCUGAGAGGAUGACCAGCCACACUGGAACUGAGACACGGUCCAGACUCCUACGGGAGGCAGCAGUGGGGAAUAUUGCACAAUGGGCGCAAGCCUGAUGCAGCCAUGCCGCGUGUAUGAAGAAGGCCUUCGGGUUGUAAAGUACUUUCAGCGGGGAGGAAGGGAG
Molecule: ribosomal RNA, 457 nt
Filed under: Escherichia coli
Lineage: Bacteria; Pseudomonadati; Pseudomonadota; Gammaproteobacteria; Enterobacterales; Enterobacteriaceae
Also listed under: 1 other name
Description: bacterial SSU rRNA
Rfam family: Bacterial small subunit ribosomal RNA
Source: RNAcentral